Molecule: ribosomal RNA, 304 nt
Filed under: uncultured bacterium
Lineage: Bacteria
Description: partial 16S ribosomal RNA
Rfam family: Bacterial small subunit ribosomal RNA
Source: RNAcentral
CAGCAGUCGCCGCGGUAAUACGGAGGGUGCAAGCGUUAAUCGGAAUUACUGGGCGUAAAACGCACGCAGGCGGUCUGUCAAGUCAGAUGUGAAAUCCCCGGGCUUAACCUGGGAACUGCAUUUGAAACUGGCAGGCUAGAGUCUUGUAGAGGGGGGUAGAAUUCCAGGUGUAGCGGUGAAAUGCGUAGAGAUCUGGAGGAAUACCGGUGGCGAAGGCGGCCAUCUGGCCUAAUACUGACGCUGAGGUACGAAAGCAUGGGGAGCAAACAGGAUUAGAUACCCCUGUAGUCCCUGUCUCUUAUAC